Molecule: unclassified non-coding RNA, 305 nt
Filed under: plant metagenome
Description: partial contains 5.8S ribosomal RNA, internal transcribed spacer 2, and large subunit ribosomal RNA
Rfam family: 5.8S ribosomal RNA (bases 1-105)
Source: RNAcentral
GAAAUGCGAUAAGUAGUGUGAAUUGCAGAAUUCAGUGAAUCAUCGAAUCUUUGAACGCACAUUGCGCCCUUUGGUAUUCCUUAGGGCAUGCCUGUUCGAGCGUCAUUUGUAACCUCAAGCUCAGCUUGGUGUUGGGUGUCUGUCCCCGCCCCGCGCGGGGACUCGCCUCAAAAACAUUGGCGGCCGGUACGUUGGCUUCGAGCGCAGCAGAAACGCGAACUCGAGGCCCGACGAAUCGGCGACCAGAAGUCACUUCUUCCACAGCUUGACCUCGGAUCAGGUAGGGAUUCCCGCUGAACUUAAGC